ACUGUGGAGUAUACAAGAACUUGUGAGUAGUUUAUUUAACUGUGUUAAAUUACAAAAACAUAUAUGAUGAAGCAGUAA
RNAcentral lists this non-coding RNA (78 nucleotides) under unclassified sequences. Its description in RNAcentral is "RAGATH-18 RNA". It matches the Rfam family "RAGATH-18 RNA". From Rfam's summary of the family: Actinobacteria, Firmicutes, Fusobacteria, Thermotogae (1 example). Nearby to self-cleaving ribozyme genes The record is from Rfam by way of RNAcentral.